CAGACACCCAUGGGCGACCUGUGGCUGGGGUGGUGGUCAUCUGCAGGGACAAAUUAACAGCAGCCGCAUACAACCACCACGCUACAGUACAGACUGUGAUCCACGAGCUGUUCCACGCACUUGGGUUCUCUAAAGAUCUCUUCCACACCUGGAAAGACUGUUCCUCCUCUCCUCAAGUGGGUGCCAGAUGUUCGCCUCGGGGGAAAGUGAUUCACUCUGAUGGAU
This is a long non-coding RNA of Seriola dumerili (greater amberjack), 225 nucleotides long. RefSeq lists it as uncharacterized. NCBI's taxonomy places the organism in Eukaryota, Metazoa, Chordata, Actinopteri, Carangiformes, Carangidae. The transcript has 3 exons. The record is from RefSeq and is a predicted model, not a curated record.